RNAcentral lists this ribosomal RNA (528 nucleotides) under uncultured Glomus. Its description in RNAcentral is "SSU rRNA". It matches the Rfam family "Eukaryotic small subunit ribosomal RNA", at positions 561 to 1092 of the family's 1831-position model. Lineage: Eukaryota; Fungi; Glomeromycota; Glomeromycetes; Glomerales; Glomeraceae. The record is from RNAcentral.
CUGGUGCCAGCAGCGCGUAAUUCCAGCUCCAAUAGCGUAUAUUAAAGUUGUUGCAGUUAAAAAGCUCGUAGUUGAAUUUCGAGAUCUAAAUUGUUGGUCGUGCCUCGGUACGUACUGGUAAUUUUGGUUUCUCCCUUCUGAAGAACCAUGAUGUCAUUAAUUUGGUGUCUUGGGGAAUCAGGACUGUUACUUUGAAAAAUUAGAGUGUUUAAAGCAGGCUCGCGCUUGAAUACAUUAGCAUGGAAUAAUGAAUAGGACGUUUGAUUCUAUUUUGUUAGGUUUCUAGGAUCGACGUAAUGAUUAAUAGGGAUAGUUGGGGGCAUUAGUAUUCAAUUGUCAGAGGUGAAAUUCUUGGAUUUAUUGAAGACUAACUACUGCGAAAGCAUUUGCCAAGGAUGUUUUCAUUAAUCAAGAACGAAAGUUAGGGGGAUCGAAGACGAUCAGAUACCGUCGUAGUCUUAACCAUAAACUAUGCCGACUAGGGAUCGGAUGAUGUUAAUUUUUUAAUGACUCAUUCGGCGCCUUACG